Molecule: ribosomal RNA, 1077 nt
Filed under: Triticum aestivum (bread wheat)
Lineage: Eukaryota; Viridiplantae; Streptophyta; Magnoliopsida; Poales; Poaceae
Description: partial small subunit ribosomal RNA
Source: RNAcentral
AUGUGGAACGCUCGCCUCGUUGGAGAUGGGCCGGUCGAUGUCGAUCGAUCUGUUCGAUUCCUUGUAUUCCCUGCCUGCCCUCUCAACAGUACGAAUCCCCAAUCCUCCACCUUGAAGGCUAAAUACUUUCCGGAUGGUGAUCUCUUGAGGGCUACUCUAAAAAAGAAAGCUUCUUAUACCUGGCAGAGUAUUAUCGCAUGAGUAGAGACACUGCAGCGUGGACAUAUUUGGAGAAUCAGAGAUGGGGAAAAAGUUAAAAUAUGGGAGGAUGCUUGGGUUCCUCACUCUCCAUCUAAAAAGGUAAUCACGGUUAGAGGGAACAAUUUGCUCUCUCGGGUCUCUGACUUGAUUGACCCGGCAUCUGGAGAUUGGGAUAUACAGAUUGUGAACCAAACUUUCUGGCAAGUGGAUGCCCAGAGAAUUCUCGCCAUCCCUCUUCCGGUUCAUGGAAUGUCAGACUUUGUGGCUUGGAGUCCGACUAAAACUUGGGUGUUCUCUGUACGGUCUGCGUACCAUGCGGAGUGGGACUUUCAGUAUGGACAUAGGCUCCAAAAUAAUGCAAGCGCAUCGAUACCAAAAGAUAUUUGGGGGUCGGUCUGGAAUUUGUUGUGCCCAUCAAAGAUCAAGAUAUUCAUUUGGAGAGUGUUACACAGUGCUAUACCUUGCCGCUCAAUACUUGCAAAUAAGCACAUGAAGGUGAAAGAUCAUUGUCCGGCUUGUAAUUUGGGGCCAGAUAACAUCCGUCAUUUGCUGUUUGAGUGCCCCAAGGCUGUUGAGGUAUGGAAGCUCCUAGGAAUAUAUGAUGUUAUUAAAAAGGCAAUUGUGGUUGAUAGGGCAGGAGAGGUUGUUUUGGAGCAUUUACUCUUUCUUCCACAGAAUGAGGUUCUUGUGUUGGGACUACCAAAGCUGAGAGAAACGGUGGCUACUGCAGCUUGGUAUUUAUGGUUCGAGUAUCGAAAGUUAACGCAUGGAGAAACAGUUCAGAAUGCAGCUCAGAUCAGCUUAGCAGUGAGGGGGCUUGCGGCUAAUUUUACUCUCCUUCAGCCCAAAAGUGAAAGUGAAACCCUGGGUGGAUGA